GGAGACUAGAUCGAUAGGGCUGCACAGAGGUGGCACAGUUGUGCCAGAGGUAGCAGGGACAGGAGGGCUGGCAAGGGAGGGUCCAGGGCUAGGGGAUUCGGAGUGGCUUCAGGCGGACCACGUGGCUACCUUUUUUCCAGGGCCAGACUUUGGCAGCGUGUAAGGUCUGAGGACAGGGGCACCGGAGGCCGAGGAUGAGAGGCCAGUGCCUGUUUCCAGGCAGCCAGGGCCUCAGAAACUCCGGCCGGAGCACUCACCCGUCGGUGGAGGCCGUUACCAGGGCCACCUUAUUUGCGAGCGGGUCCCGGCGGGUCAUCCCGGAGCUGGCCAUCCGCACCGAAUUCCAAGCCCGGGCACAGAGGCCUAGCAGCCCCGCCUUGUGCAUGGAUCAGACCAGCAAGUAUGGGUUCCACUCUUCCCAGGGGCGGUGACAGAGUAGGGCGAGGGGCAGGACGAAGGGCGGGCCGAUUCCCUGCCCGCCCUGCUCCCCGCCCCGGUACCGCUGUGAGCGGUCUGUGGCCCUGGGCACCUCCAUCCGCCGCGGCGCCCCUCCACCAUCUACCUUCCGCCUGACUGGGGCUUGCCUUUCCGGGCUGGCGGGUGAGCUCUCCGUUCAAGUUGCCUGUAGGGCUCGCCCCUCCCCUGGCCCUUGCAGGAACCCGCAGGCUUUGGCUGCUGCCUUUCUGCAUCUGCUUGCCCACCUUUUCUUCUCUGGGAAGUGGGGGUUUUGAGUUGGUUGCUUUUGCUUCUUCAGAAUUCCUUCUCCAAGAAAGUCUGGGUCUAUGUGUGUGACAGCCCACAGGAGGGCAAAUGUUUUGAGACUGCCCAUGGAGGUGAGGCCUGUGGUCGCCAUGGAGUCCACCAGGUGAGGCUGGAAGAGCCUGGGAGAGAGACGUGAUAGGGAGUAGCUGCGCCAGGCCUGGCACUGCCCUUCACUCUGCCCAAGGUCUCUUCCAUCUUCACGGGCCCUGGAGGGCAGACUAUGGUCAUUGGCCAAACAGCAUUCUCAUGUCCGUUGACAAAGGGACUUCCUCCUUUACAGGGGCUAAGUGGUAGCGAGGAGGCUGGACAGUCCCUCAAGCAGUGGUGGAAAUGCAAAGAACUCGGGGCACUCAAGUUCUCCCUAACCACUCUGUCCCCAGGUCUUAGCCGCCAUCUUAGUUCAAUAAAUAUUUGUUGAAUGCAAAA
RNAcentral lists this long non-coding RNA (1188 nucleotides) under Homo sapiens (human). RNAcentral's name for it is "DHRS4 antisense RNA 1". The record is from RNAcentral. Lineage: Eukaryota; Metazoa; Chordata; Mammalia; Primates; Hominidae.